RNAcentral lists this ribosomal RNA (460 nucleotides) under uncultured bacterium. RNAcentral describes it as "partial 16S ribosomal RNA". It matches the Rfam family "Bacterial small subunit ribosomal RNA", at positions 338 to 795 of the family's 1533-position model. The record is from RNAcentral.
CCUACGGGUGGCAGCAGUGAGGAAUAUUUGUCAAUGGACGAGAGUCUGAACCCGCCAAGUCGCGUGAAGGGUGACUGCCCUAUGGGUUGUAAACUUCUUUUAUAUGGGAAUAAAACGUUGCACGUGUGGCAUUUUGUAUGUACCAUAUGAAUAAGGAUCGGCUAACUCCGUGCCAGCAGCCGCGGUAAUACGGAGGAUUCGGGCGUUAUCCGGAUUUAUUGGGUUUAAAGGGAGCGUAGGUGGAAUGUGAAGUGAGUUGUGAAAGUUUGCGGCUCAACCGUAAAAUUGCAGUUGAAACUGGCAGUCUUGAGUACAGUAGAGGUAGGCAGAAUUCGUGGUGUAGCGGUGAAAUGCUUAGAUAUCACGAAGAACUCCGAUUGCGAAGGCAGUUCACUGGACUGCAACUGACACUGAGGCUCGAAAGUGUGGGUAUCAAACAGGAUUAGAUACCCGGGUAGUC